AUUGAACGCUGGCAGCAGGCCUAACACAUGCAAGUCGAGCGGUAGCACAGAGAGCUUGCUCUCGGGUGACGAGCGGCGGACGGGUGAGUAAUGUCUGGGAAACUGCCUGAUGGGAGGGGGGAUAACUACUGGAAACGGUAGCUAAUACCGCAUAACGUCGCAAGACCAAAGAGGGGGACCUUCGGGCCUCUUGCCAUCAG
RNAcentral lists this ribosomal RNA (200 nucleotides) under uncultured bacterium. RNAcentral describes it as "partial 16S ribosomal RNA". It matches the Rfam family "Bacterial small subunit ribosomal RNA", at positions 30 to 224 of the family's 1533-position model. The record is from RNAcentral.